This 675-nucleotide ribosomal RNA is filed under the name uncultured bacterium. Its description in RNAcentral is "bacterial SSU rRNA". It matches the Rfam family "Bacterial small subunit ribosomal RNA", at positions 8 to 717 of the family's 1533-position model. The record is from RNAcentral.
AGAGUUUGAUCCUGGCUCAGAACGAACGCUGGCGGCAGGCUUAACACAUGCAAGUCGAACGAGAAGCCAGGCUUCGGCCUGGUGGAAAGUGGCAGACGGGUGAGGAACACGUGGGAAUCUGCCCAGUGGUACGGAAUAACUUCGGGAAACCGGAGCUAAUGCCGUAUACGCCCUUCGGGGGAAAGAUUUAUCGCCAUUGGAUGAGCCCGCGUCGGAUUAGCUUGUUGGUAGGGUAACGGCCUACCAAGGCGACGAUCCGUAGCUGGUCUGAGAGGAUGAUCAGCCACACUGGGACUGAGACACGGCCCAGACUCCUACGGGAGGCAGCAGUGGGGAAUAUUGCACAAUGGGCGCAAGCCUGAUGCAGCCAUGCCGCGUGAGUGAAGAAGGCCUUAGGGUUGUAAAACUCUUUCACCGGUGAAGAUAAUGACGGUAGCCGGAGAAGAAGCCCCGGCCAACUCCGUGCCAGCAGCCGCGGUAAUACGGAGGGGGCUAGCGUUGUUCGGAAUUACUGGGCGUAAAGCGCACGUAGGCGGAUUGGUAAGUUGGGGGUGAAAUCCCAAGGCUCAACCUUGGAACUGCCCUCGAAACUGCCAGUCUUGAGUCCGGAAGAGGUGAGUGGAAUUCCUAGUGUAGAGGUGAAAUUCGUAGAUAUUAGGAAGAACACCAGUGGCG